UACGUAGGGGGCGAGCGUUGUCCGGAUUUAUUGGGCGUAAAGAGCGUGUAGGCGGUUCGGUAAGUCUGUCGUGAAAUCCUGAGGCUCAACCUCGGGCGUGCGAUGGAUACUGCGGGUCUCGAGUCCGGGAGAGGUGAGUGGAAUUCCUAGUGUAGAGGUGAAAUUCGUAGAUAUUAGGAAGAACACCAGUGGCGAAGGCGGCUCACUGGCCCGGUACUGACGCUGAGGCGCGAAAGGCGUGGGGAGCAAACAGG
Molecule: ribosomal RNA, 254 nt
Filed under: uncultured bacterium
Lineage: Bacteria
Description: partial 16S ribosomal RNA
Rfam family: Bacterial small subunit ribosomal RNA
Source: RNAcentral